AAUGAACGUUGGCGGCGUGCUUAACACAUGCAAGUCGAGCGAGAAAGCUCCUACGGGAGCAAGUACAGCGGCGGACGGGUGAGGAACGCGUAAGAAUCCUCCCUUCAGUGAAGAAUACCCUUGAGAAAUCGAGGAUAAUACUGCAUAUUCCCUACGGGGCAAAGGUGGCUUUAUGCUGCCGCUGAAGGAUGAGCUUGCGUGCUAUUAGCUAGUUGGUGAGGUAAAGGCUCACCAAGGCGAUGAUGGCUAGCCGGCCUGAGAGGGUGUACGGCCACAUUGGGACUGAGAUACGGCCCAGACUCCUACGGGAGGCAGCAGUGAGGAAUAUUGCGCAAUGGGCGAAAGCCUGACGCAGCGACGCCGCGUGGAGGAUGACGGUCUUCGGAUUGUAAACUCCUGUUAAGCGGGAAGAAAGACCAGUCUCUAAUACAGAUUGGAUAUGACGGUACCGCUAGAGAAAGCACCGGCUAACUUCGUGCC
This 480-nucleotide ribosomal RNA is filed under the name uncultured bacterium. RNAcentral's name for it is "bacterial SSU rRNA". It matches the Rfam family "Bacterial small subunit ribosomal RNA", at positions 29 to 509 of the family's 1533-position model. The record is from RNAcentral.